RNAcentral lists this microRNA precursor (76 nucleotides) under Myotis davidii. Its description in RNAcentral is "mir-9193 microRNA precursor family". It matches the Rfam family "mir-9193 microRNA precursor family". Lineage: Eukaryota; Metazoa; Chordata; Mammalia; Chiroptera; Vespertilionidae. The record is from Rfam by way of RNAcentral.
UCCGGAGUUGGGGAGUCCCCUCAGCCUAGAUUGUGAGAGGACACAGGCCAGGCUGAGGGACCCCCACCAGUGCAUG